This 465-nucleotide ribosomal RNA is filed under the name uncultured Klebsiella sp. RNAcentral's name for it is "bacterial SSU rRNA". It matches the Rfam family "Bacterial small subunit ribosomal RNA", at positions 338 to 795 of the family's 1533-position model. Lineage: Bacteria; Pseudomonadati; Pseudomonadota; Gammaproteobacteria; Enterobacterales; Enterobacteriaceae. The record is from RNAcentral.
CCUACGGGCGGCUGCAGUGGGGAAUAUUGCACAAUGGGCGCAAGCCUGAUGCAGCCAUGCCGCGUGUGUGAAGAAGGCCUUCGGGUUGUAAAGCACUUUCAGCGGGGAGGAAGGCGGUGAGGUUAAUAACCUCAUCGAUUGACGUUACCCGCAGAAGAAGCACCGGCUAACUCCGUGCCAGCAGCCGCGGUAAUACGGAGGGUGCAAGCGUUAAUCGGAAUUACUGGGCGUAAAGCGCACGCAGGCGGUCUGUCAAGUCAGAUGUGAAAUCCCCGGGCUCAACCUGGGAACUGCAUUCGAAACUGGCAGGCUAGAGUCUUGUAGAGGGGGGUAGAAUUCCAGGUGUAGCGGUGAAAUGCGUAGAGAUCCGGAGGAAUACCGGUGGCGAAGGCGGCCCCCUGGACAAAGACUGACGCUCAGGUGCGAAAGCGUGGGGAGCAAACAGGAUUAGAUACCCUUGUAGUC